Monomorium pharaonis (pharaoh ant) is the source of this 878-nucleotide long non-coding RNA. RefSeq lists it as uncharacterized. The transcript is spliced from 4 exons. The record is from RefSeq and is a predicted model, not a curated record. NCBI's taxonomy places the organism in Eukaryota, Metazoa, Arthropoda, Insecta, Hymenoptera, Formicidae.
GGGCCAUUGCUAUAUGCCGGAGUCCGCGCGGGGAGAAUCGACAGAGACAUGAAUAUAUUCUCAUAUAUUCUGUCUCUUUUCGUGUUGGACAUCCCCACCACUCCGUUUUCUAGAAAGAAAGAAGCGCCACACAUACGAGCAGUACGGCAGGUGAGGGCAGUCGCGAAUAUAUUGAAAGGGAAAAUGAGAAUGCACAUCACUUGAUGUACAGUGGCAUCACAAGUGAUGAUAAAGAGAAAACAAGUUUAAUAUUUUUAUGUCUGAAGUCAAGUGAUUUAUACAGUAAUCCACAUGAAAUUAAUGUAUCAAUUAUAAAAAGUAUUUAUGAAAAAAUUAUUAAAUACUCAUAUUUGUGCAAAGCCGGGUCUGGACGUCUUAUGCAAGCACCGCGUAGCAGCUCUUAUAUGUUUAAUUAGGACAGAAAAGUGUGAUAUAGAAAGAUCUAUGUGCACUGAUAAGGAACAGAAAUCGGGCAAAUUAAAAAAACGUCAGAACAAUGUAUGAAGCGGUACCUUCAUUAAAACAUUUUGUCAUGGAUUACAAAAAAAAUGUAAUUACGUGGCACAUGAAGUUAGUCAAUGUAUGUUAGAUGAACUUGUGCAAUGUAUAUUAAAAGAUAACAAAAACAGUAUGCUUAUAAAUUAAAAGAAGGCUACAAUAAAUGAGAAAAGAUCUGCACUUAAUACUGCUUCAAAGAAAAGUAUAUUUAUUACCACAGACCCAGACAGCACAGGAUAUCCUAUGAAUAUCUGUUUUAUAUCCAUUUCUUGUCCUGAUGUCCAUAGACCUUAUAAGGAUAUCCAUAGAAUAUACAUUUGUGGACAUUGAAGGGAUAUCCUAAAAUGGACCACUUUGUAUGUCCAUAUGCUUUCCUUAUU